This 3112-nucleotide long non-coding RNA is filed under the name Homo sapiens (human). RNAcentral's name for it is "HSALNT0097538". The record is from RNAcentral. Lineage: Eukaryota; Metazoa; Chordata; Mammalia; Primates; Hominidae.
CAGCCCCCCAACUCCACGCACUUCCCUGAGAUGGGAAAUCCACUGCACUUAAGGCCUGCCCUGCUUCUUUGCAAAGGCCCUGGGCUGUGAGCCCCUUGGCCUGUGAAACAGAAGAGCCUUGGAGCUGAUGUAGCCGCUGCUGGACACCUGACCACGAUCCUUACCUGAGUGCGUGCGACUGCUUGCUGAGGGCUUCACGGACACUAGAGUGACCGCUUGCCAAGUUCCCUGUCACACUCAGCCAGAACUCAUGCUGAGUUUUAAGACCAGAUUCCCACCACGAGCAAAACCCCACACUACACCUUCCAACACCUCCAAGAUGCCAAGCACUUCCUUCCCAUCCUGGGUUCAUAAACCCAAAAGAAAAAAAUAGUGUUGUGCAGACCCGGAAGGUAGAGGGAGGUUAUAGGUUAUAAGCAGGUACCAUAGAAAAAAAUGAGAUAAACUGGCAGUUUUCUAAGAUAUCAGCAUACAUAAUAAGCACAAGAGAAGUGGGCAGGGCAUAAAAUGCUUAUGCAAGAUCACCCUGGUGUGUUGGGUUGUUUUCCUUUUUAAUUAGCCCCUUGAUCCCAAAUUAAGGCUCUGUCAUCUCAUGGUGCAUGCACCUUUCUGCCUGUGGCAGAGUCAGGCCACCCCAGGGUAUAAACUUGUUGGUGUGGCUGUGCUGGAUAAGUGUAAUUCAAAGAGGAUUUCAGCAGCUGUAGCUGUUCCAGGGCCCACCCUAAACCAUCAUGCUUCUUCUCUGCCUAGGGCCUGAGACCACCUGGCAAAUGGGUGGAAUCUGUUUUUGGUGUGAACUUUAAGACUCCAUAGUUAACUUACCUGCAAUAUUUAAAAUCAUGAGAUCCAGCAACCUGUCCAUCAGUUACAUCUUAUGAGUAACAUAGAUAAGGCUAAGAUAAAACACAACACUGUUUCUCAUCCCUUCAUCCCAGAAACAGCCGUGUAGAUAGGUUCAAACAUAUAUUAAUCGACACAGUCUCCCUUCCUGGUGACCAGACAAUGGUCACCUGAUUGAAAAACUAGCAGGACUAUGGAUGAGGAUAUAGUUUUUUCUAUUUGAGGUUUAAAUAUCUUUCCAUCCCAAAGUCUGAGUUAUUCAAGGUCUGGCUCAUUCUGUUGACAAGACCUACAUACAUGUGGAUCCAGUCAAACUUGCAUGGCUGAACAAACUACUAAAGUAAUAUAAUUAAGUAAUUGCUAUAUACUCUUGUGGAUGAGGGGUAGGAUGGAAAGGCUCAGAUUCCUUCUGGUUGAAUUAAAAUCUCUAUCAGCAUGUGGUUAGAUUGACAUUGCUAGAAAGGGAGCCUGAAACUAAACAUACAUUAAACGAAGAAGGUAUUUUGUAAUUCCCUUGGCUGAAGAUCCAGUGUCUAAGCUAGAAUCUUUGCAGAGCACAGAAUCCUGUGUGUUCGUGGGAUGUACCUACCCCACUGCAAAUUGAGCCUAAUUGAGCAAACCACUCCGAUGGUUUCACCUUCCCCUGUCAUAGUGAUGCAGUGAACAAAGCUAUUUCAGUGAGAAUGAAAGGGAAAUUUGGCAAGGAAUAUCAGCUUGCACUAUUUAAGUCUUGGAAUGUCAUUCAAGAUGUUCUUGUUCUGUUUCUAGUGUAAUGUUUAAGCCCACAGAAUCAGACCGGAAUAUAUAACGUCAUGUUAGAAUUAAGAUAAAUACACUUGUCAUACUUAAGAAGCCACAUUUCAAUAAGAUAUGCUACCACUGGCUAAAAGCCACAGAUUUUUUUUUUCCUGUAUCCAUACGAUCAACUGUCAGUUGGCCCCAGCAAUGGAAAAGAACAGAAUAGAGGAUAAUCCAAUAAAGUGAAAUCAUUUGGGACCUCUUAUGUAAUUUUAUCUUGUAGUAGAGCUUCCAUCUUAAUUUGCUUUGCUUACGCUAAUUUCAUGUGAAUUUAUAUUCUCGGGCAUCAUGCUAGAAUGUAAAUAACCCUGUUCCCAGAAUUAAGAGAUCCAGGCAACCAAGCAGUCUAUACCACUAGCCUUUGGCAAAUGGCUUAAAUUUCCCGGCCUGUUUGUCCAUUCUUGAAUACAGAUAAGAACAUAUGCUUUCCUACUUUAUAAACUCUUAGCACGUUCCACAUUAUGUGAGCUGAGUGACUCAGAGCUGAGCUGGAUUACUGGCCAAAGUUAGCCUGGGAAGAUAAAGAGAUGUUUGAGGUACCUCACACAAAAUUAAUAAGCUGAUGUGGUCAUAGAUAUGUUUCCAGUUGAGGCCCUCACAUGAACCCUUAACUGAAUUAAAUAAAACUGGGACUAGAAAAUGUUGACAUUUUCUGCACUUCCCCAACAAAAAAAAAAGAAAAGAAAAGAAAAGAAAAAAAUAAAUAAAAUGUUGACAUUUCUAGAAAUACAGCCAAACAAGGCUGUACUGAUUCUACACCAAAGCACAACACCGCAUUGCUUGGGCCACUGACCUGAAACUGGGAAGGAGUUCUCUUCUGAAAAAUUGAUAUUUAAAAUCAUUAUGAGGAAAUAGGAUUCCAUAAACAUUUUCCUGAUGAACAAAAAUGGUCGUCUCUAUGUUUAAAACACCACACACACAUAUACCAAAACUGCAUACUCACUUAUUCAUGUGAAAAUCACUGCUUCUUUGUAAAAUAUUACGUAACAUCUACCAUGAUAUUCUACAGAAAUGCUGUACUUGAGGUUAUCUGGUUUGCUGGAGAGAUAUUAACUUAGCAAAAAUUACUUUUAUAAAAUUGAAAGGAAAAAGACCAAUACAUCAACUUAAAUUGCAGGAGUUUAUGUAGCUGCUUUCUCUGUAGUUUAAAAAGCAAUGCAUAAAUGCAUACUCACUAUCCUUGGAACUUAAUACCAGCUCAUCUAUAGAGCACCUUCUUAAAGACGAUGUACUGAUGUAAGGUUUUGUAAAUUUCUAAACUGUUUUAAACGGGAUAUUAUCUUUUGCAAUAAACUUACAUAUUUUUUCUAGGUUUUAAGACUCCAUUACUAGCUUGGGUUGAUUUCAGUUAUAAAAUGUAUGCUUAAGAAGGACACCUCAAUGGUCCUAAGGGCAAGUAUGGCUUUCAUUAUAAUUGCUUCUAUAUAUUUCUAAGGGAAAUAAAUAAAGAGCAGAUUCAGAACUUAGUGUCACG